Molecule: ribosomal RNA, 113 nt
Filed under: Seriola lalandi dorsalis
Lineage: Eukaryota; Metazoa; Chordata; Actinopteri; Carangiformes; Carangidae
Source: RNAcentral
GAUUAAAAAAAAAAGAACACGCCCGAUCUCGUCCGAUCUCGGAAGCCAAGCAGGGUCGGGCCUGGUUAGUACUUGGAUGGGAGACCGCCUGGGAAUACCAGGUGCUGUAAGCU